GGAGAGGAGCUGCCUGGCCCCGGUGCGCGGCCUGGGCCGAAGGGACGUGUCCCGCAGCGGCCCUGUUGGACGGACCAAGCCGUGGGUCUCGCCAUCAGUUCCACAUUGCUGGGUGCGGCCCGGCCAUCCUCAAGAAGCCCAAGGUCCUCCUCUUGUGAAGCAGAGGAGCCUUCAUUACUGCAGGCUGAGCGGUUGGUCACGCACAUGUGGUGGCUGCCUUGUGCAGGUCAGCUGCGGCUUGUGUGUGAGCUUGGAGGCCUCGGCAGAAGACCAUCCGUGAAGAUUCAACUCCAGUUGACAACAGGGAGAACAGGAUCAAGCUUUGCUGAAAAUCUUCUUCAGCUACAUUGAAAUUCAGGUGGAGGAACCACUCAGUCCAGUGAGUUUUACAGUUUCCAGUGAGCUUCUACAAAAGCCUCUUUUCAUGACAUUAUUUCUUCAGAUGCACAAUGCCAGCCUCUGCUGUUCAAGGGAAAGAAGUAUUCAGUGACCCAGGACAAGGGAUGGGGUAGCCUCAAUCUCAUGAUGUUUUACUAAAGGAUUAGAGAAUGAAACAAAGAGCCUUUGGAAAUAAGAAGAGACAGGCAAUGACAUCAACA
Molecule: long non-coding RNA, 599 nt
Organism: Calidris pugnax (ruff)
Lineage: Eukaryota; Metazoa; Chordata; Aves; Charadriiformes; Scolopacidae
Exons: 3
Source: RefSeq, a predicted model, not a curated record